Non-coding RNA from Oryctolagus cuniculus (rabbit), 6022 nucleotides. The record is from RefSeq and is a predicted model, not a curated record. Lineage: Eukaryota; Metazoa; Chordata; Mammalia; Lagomorpha; Leporidae.
CCCAGGCGGGGAGGGGUGCGAGGGGCCGAGGUCACAGCACAGUGAGUGUCCCGGGCCAGGGGCUGCCCAGGCGGGGAGGGGUGCAUGGGGCUGAGGUCAGAGCUGAGGCUGAACCUGCUGUGAGGGAUUCUUCCACUGGUGCUGGUGGCAGGAGGCGUGAGAGGGGCCUCUCUUCUGCCCCCAGGACAAGGAAGAGGCCAGGGAAAGCGGGGACAGGGACACGUAGACCUGAGAGUGCCUGGCAGCCCUGGAGGAAGGUUCUCGGUGCCGCAGCUUUGGUUUGGUUGGUUGGUUUUCUUUCCUCGAGAGCCCCUGACUCCAAAAGCACAGGGCAAGAGAGCCAUGUGGGCAGAAAAUUCCUUAAAUGCUGCCAUUCUGUAUUUUAGAGAUAAUGGUAAACUUUCCAUUUCUCUAUGUUUAAAAUGUAAAAUGAUGAAGAGUAGAGAAGUGGGAAAAGCCAGGGUGGUCAGAAAGGGGGCCAGCAGAGAAUGUGCUGCAGGCGUCCACAGGGGACCGUGGGGUCACCUGUGUGCCCCUGAUGUUUGUCCCUUAGCAUCUUCAAUGGUGCCCUCACUGGACACCUGCCCUUGGCUCCCAGGCCGAGGCUGUGAAGCCCUGGGAAGGUGGGCGUGGGCCGGGGGCAUCUUCUGCUCUGAAGAUCAGGGCCUAUACCUGGGCUUUCCAGAAACACAUCCCACUUGGACAGUGUGGUCCCCAGGGGCCCCGACCUAACCCGCUCCGAGGACAGACACAGUCUCCCCAGCCCCACCCAUGUCUCUCUCAGCCCAGGGGACACUCAGCAAUGGCAGGGGACACUUUUAAAUGCCACGACUAGGCUAGUGCCCCCGGCAGGCAGUGGCUAAAGGCCAGGGAUGCUACCCAGCACCGUACAGUACCCAGGACAAACCUCACAGCAAAGCAUUAUCCAGGCCAAAACACCAGCCGCAUGGGGAUCAGGAGACCCUGAUCCGCACAGUGCCAGCGUGGCAGAGCCCAGGGCCAGCGAGACAGACUUGCUGAUGGACACGUGCCUGCUUCCAGUGGCCACGAUGGCAGCCGACAAACCUGGACUUGAAGCAGGCCAAGAGCUUCCUAUUCUGCACACCUGGUUGUCCACAAGGCAGAGGCCUAAGUGGGUCCUGGGAGCCUCAGCUGGUGGCCACCCAGGGUCCCAGGUACUGAGGAGCCCCAGGGACGCCCUGGGAGCAGGAGAGAGCCCAGAGCCUUCCUGCCCACGGCCCCCUGCACGCUUCCUUCACAAGCCCAAGCCAGGCUGAGAGGAUGAUCUCUGGCUGGCUCUCUGAAGGGGACCCCUGGAGGACAGCAGGGCUGGCAGCUCCUUCCCUCCUACUGCCAGGCCCAAGUCCCAGACCUCCUCCCCAGCUGCCAGCGGGAGCCUCCAGGUCUCCCAGGGGCAGCUGGCCUGAGUUUGUCUCCCGGUGAUUCAUCAAAUGGUGUUCUCCACUUACAUUUUGACCUAUUUCAUUAAUCAUCAAAUGAAUCCAUUGCAAAAAAUUUUUUUAAACAAUAGCGAGGUGUAUAAAAUGAAAAGUGGUCUCCUGCCCCUCUAGGUCUCGUCCCUCCACCGCAGAGCGGUUUCCACUGCCGCAUCCCAGUGGUGUCCAGACAGAGUGGGCCUCCAGCUGUGCAGUGUUUCCAGACUCCCACCGUGAAGCCGGGGGGUCAGCUCCCCUCCCUCCCACCCCUCUCCACUACUACCUCCAGUUCUUUGCUGGUUGCAGGAUUAUUUUUUUUUUAACUUUUAUUUAAUGAAUAUAAAUUUCCAAAGUACGACUCAUGGGUUACAAUGGCUUCCCCCCCCAUACCGUCCCUCCCACCCACAACCCUCCCCUUUCCUACUCCCUCUCCCCUUCCAUUCACAUCAAGAUUCAUUUUCGAUUAUCUUAAUAUAUAGAAGAUCAGCUUAGUAUACCUUAAGUAAGGAUUUCAACAGCUUGCUCCCACACAGAAACAUAAAGUGAAAAAUAAUAGAUGAUUUUUUUUAAAUGAUGAUGAAAUCAGAUCAGACCUAUUGUCAUGUUUAAUCCCAGUGAGAGUCAAGUUGGGAAUUGAUAAUUUUUUUUUUUACAGAAGAUCAGUUUAGUGUACAUUAAGUAAAGAUUUCAAUCGUUUGCACCCCCAUAGAAACACAAAGUGAAAUAUACUGUUUGAGUACUCGUUAUAGCAUUAAGCCUCAGUGUACAGCACAUUAAGGACAGAGAUCCUACAUGAGGAGUAAGUGCACAGUGACUCCUGGUUGCAGGAUUAUUUUUAGUUCUCCUGCUGGUCACCAUUAUAACUUUCAGUAAGGCUCUUGAGUCGGUAUUUGUCAACUCUGUCCCCACUAAGCUGAGGAAAUUCACCCGCCUUCCCUCUCGGCUCAGCAUCCUGCCAAGUGCUGCCCUGCCAAGGUUUCACAGUUCUCUCCUGCCUUCCACGGUUUGGUCGUCCAUGUUCCACCUCCAGGAGAGAGGUCCAUGGCAGGGAAGACAGGGGUACCCGACAGUCAGUCAGGAGUACCUUUUUUUUUUUUUUUAAGAUUUAUUGAUUUAUUUGAAAUGUUCAAUGAGAGAGUGAAAAAGAAUGCCAGAGAGGGAGCAGUACCUUCCACCCACCGCUUCAUGCCCCAGUUGGCCACAACAGCCAGGGCUGGGCUGAGCUGAAGCCAGGAGCCUGGAACUCCAUGUGAGUGGCAGGGGCCUAAGCACUUGGGCCAUCGUCCGCUGUUUUACCAGGUGCGUCAGCAGGGAUCUGGAUCAGAAGUGGAGUAGCAGGGACCCAAACUGCCACUCCCAUGUGGGAUGCUGGCAGCCCAGCCCACUGCACCACGGUGCCAGCCCUGUCAAAUGUAUCUUAAAUGCGGUCUGGUCCAGGGCUGCAUUGUGGUAACUAUUUUAGCAGUUUAGCCUCAUCUCGGACCCAGUACAUAAAACAGGUAAAAACGGAUGUGUAUGUGUUGGGGUAGAAAGGAGGCAGGCCCGGCAGUGCAGUCACACUGCACACUUACAGGGGGCGCUGUGUGCAUCCUACAGCCCCCCAGUCACCAUGGCUGCAGCCCUGUCCUUUACAGGUGAGGACCCAGGACUCAGAGGGAAAAGGGACAAUGCCUGGCGUGGCCAGGCUCUCACUUGUGCUCAAGUGUGCCUCAAGCCUCAGUGAACGGGGCUGGCUCUGCCACUCUGGGCAGAUCCCACCAGGGGCCACGCAAGUGAGUUCCCUGGCUUGGUGAGCUUCGGUUUUCCUGAACCAGCUCCCCGCUGCAUUGUCUGUGCAGGCAGUCCACGUUUCCUCCCCUCAUGCGCUCUCCUGUGCCCCUGUGGGCAGCCUCUUACUCCCGGUCCUGUGGAGACACCCAGCCAGCUGCGCGGUCACCGCCUCCUGUGUGCUCCCACUCGGGCCCCAGGCCUUCUCCCUCGGCACCUUUCCACCCGGCCUCAGCCGCUCAGAGUGCCCCACUGCGCCUGUGGCCUCAGCCUCUCCCUGUGAGCACCUGAGGCCUGAGUGACCCUCUCCAACCUCACACGGGUUUUAAUUCCUCCUACACCCAGAUGUCUCUCAAACUGCCAUCCCCCACUCUGCCCCUCCUCCUGACUUCCUUUUUUUUUAUUUUUAAUUAGUUCAUUUGAAAGGCACAGUUAACCAAGAGAGAAGAGACAGAGAGAGAGAUCUUCCAUCUACUGGAAGAUUUGGUUCACUCCCCAAAUGGCCACAUAAGCCAGGGCUGGGCCACGCCAAAGCCAGGAGCCAGGAGCUUCCUCCAGGUCUCCCACGUGGGUGCAGGUGCCCAAGGAAUUGGGCAAUCUUCCACUGCUUUCCCAAGCCACUAGCAGAGAGCUGGAUCAGAAGUGGAGCAGCCAGAACUCAAACUGGCACCCAUGUGGGAUGCCAGCACUGCAGGCCGUGCCUUGACCCACUGCGCCACAGCUCCAGCCCCUCCUCCUGACUUCUGUCUGCCCGUUUGGGCACCUGAACAUAGCCAAAGCAUGCUGGUAGAAUGCCCACUCCCCACCAUCCCCGCAGAAGCCGCUCUGCCUGGCUCUUCCCUCUCUCUACAGGCAUCUCCGUUCUCCCCCCCACCCCCGAGGUGUCUAACUCGCUUCUUCCUCUCUUCUCCCACCUCCAAGCCACCAGCAAACACAGCUCCCUUUGCAGAGACAUCUACCAUCGUCACCGCCUCCCAUUCCCCCGCACCUGCCGCCCUGGCGCCCGCUGCCAUCCCCUCCCUCGUGCAGGCAGAGCCACCCCCCUGCAAGCCCCCCUGCUCCGCUGUCACUGCGGCUGCAGAGCCCCUGUUUCUACAGCCUCCCAGGGGCUCCCAAGUCGCUCAGAGUAAAAAGCCAAGUCCUCAAGGGCCUGCUGCCCCCUCCCCGAUUUCACUUCUGGCCCCUGCUCCUGUCUCAGCCCAGUCUCACCCCUACCUGCCUCCACCAAAUGUGCUUCCCGCCUCCCUGCUUCCAGCCUUGCACCCCUGCAGGCCUGCCUGCCAGGCUCCAGCAGCGCUCCGUGCCCACUGCUGCCUCUGCUGGGCCUCUCAGGGCUCACUCUCCAGCUGCCUCCCACUCUGCAUCUGGGAAGCUUUCUCCAACCACCCUGUAGCAGACAGCAGCCCCUGGACCACUUGCCCAGUUCUUUCCUCUGCCACUGACGUAAGACAGCUCUUCCCUGUUAGUUAUCACACAGGUGCACACAGGCACAUGCACCCCCGCUGGGAAGGUGGGAGCCACAUGGGUCUUGGUCUUGGCCACUGCCCCAUCCCCAGCUCCCAGAGAAGCAGGUAGGUAGGAUGUGCAGGGAGUACACAUUCAGAUUAAGUAGCUUUAACCUCCCCUCCGCUCCCAUGGCCAUCUCCUCCUAUGAGCCUUGGCCAGCGUGGCGCGAGACCAGAAGAUCAGAGGAUCUGCUAACAGAUUUGCCCAUCUGGGGCAGGAGGGGCAGGACCAGUGGCUCCCAGGCCUGGUGUCUAGCUGGAGAUGACAAUGUUGAUGACAAGCAAGGUUAUCUUCUAAAGGACCAACACAGCAGAGGCCGUGGGGCCUGCUGGAGAGACUGAGACCAAAGCCUGCCCAGAUACCCACAGCCUAGCAAGGAGACUGGGGGGCAGCUGGAAUUCACAGGUCUGCUCUGCAGCCCCACGCCCUUCCACGGAAGGCCUGGUCAGGCUCGGGAGAGGAGUGUUAGGAAAAGAGCCCUGAUUCCAAAGACCUGGGCCCCAUGGAGGCCCCGCCACUGCCUGCCUGUGUGACCCCUCCCCAGAGCAUCCAGCGCGAAGGUGCACACAGGCCCCUCUGCAAGGAGGAGGCACAACACAGCGGGCGGUGCUCGGGGACCUGGCUCAGCGUCGGGCACCUGAGCACAGCGCUCUGGAGCCAGCUGUCCAGAAGGUGCCUUGUCUGCGCUGCGCCCCCGUUUCUAGUCUUGGGGGACUGAAGGUUAGAGCACGGUCACACAGCCUACCUGUUGGCUUUUAUUUUUGUUUGAUUUGAGAGGCAGUGCAACAGAAAACUCCCGUGCACUGGUUCAUUCCCCCAGUGCCCACUGUAGCUGGGGCUGGGCCAGGCCAACACUGGGAGCUGGAAAGUCAAUCCAGGUCUCCUGUGUGGGUGACAGGAACCAACUAUUUGUGCCGUCACCUGCUGCCUGAGUGACGUUAGUAGGAAGCUAGAACUGGGAGCAGAGCCGGGCACAAACCCAGGCACUGUGACACGGGCUGUGGGCAUCACAGGCAGGACUUCAGCCACUGUGCCCAGCGCCUGCCCAGUACAGUUAUAAGCAUGACGGUCUCAUUUAAAAGCUUGACCUUGUCUGAGCGUGCCUGGAGCCUUGAACACAGCCCAUCAGGGUCUGAAUUAGAGACCCUGAGAACAAGAAGCCAGGAUCCUACCUGGACAGCCUGGACCGGAUUGGGGCCGCCGACUACCAGCCCACCGAGCAGGACAUCCUCCGAACCAGGGUCAAAACCACUGGCAUCGUAGAAACCCACUUCACAUUCAAGAACCUUCACUUCAGGCUGUUUGACGUCGGG